This 102-nucleotide Y RNA is filed under the name Microcebus murinus (gray mouse lemur). Its description in RNAcentral is "Y RNA (ENSMICG00000045878.1)". It matches the Rfam family "Y RNA". Rfam says of the family: Y RNAs are components of the Ro ribonucleoprotein particle (Ro RNP), in association with Ro60 and La proteins. The Y RNAs and Ro60 and La proteins are well conserved, but the function of the Ro RNP is not known. Lineage: Eukaryota; Metazoa; Chordata; Mammalia; Primates; Cheirogaleidae. The record is from Rfam by way of RNAcentral.
AGCUGGUCUGAGUGCAGUGGUGUUUACAACUAAUUGAUCACAAUCAGUUACAGAUUCCUUUGUUCCUUCUCCACUCCCGCUGCUUCACUUGACCAGCCUUUA